AUACGGAGGGUGCAAGCGUUGUGCGGAAUCAUUGGGCGUAAAGAGCGCGUAGGCGGCUUGGUAAGUCGGGUGUGAAAUCCCGGGGCCCAACCCCGGAACUGCAUUCGAAACUGCCUCGCUAGAGUCUCGGAGAGGAAGGCGGAAUUCCCGGUGUAGAGGUGAAAUUCGUAGAUAUCGGGAGGAACACCAGCGGCGAAGGCGGCCUUCUGGACGAUGACUGACGCUGAGGUGCGAAAGCGUGGGGAGCAAACAGGAUUAGAUACCCCAGUAGUCC
This 274-nucleotide ribosomal RNA is filed under the name uncultured bacterium. RNAcentral describes it as "partial 16S ribosomal RNA". It matches the Rfam family "Bacterial small subunit ribosomal RNA", at positions 523 to 796 of the family's 1533-position model. The record is from RNAcentral.